RNAcentral lists this ribosomal RNA (405 nucleotides) under uncultured bacterium. Its description in RNAcentral is "bacterial SSU rRNA". It matches the Rfam family "Bacterial small subunit ribosomal RNA", at positions 355 to 776 of the family's 1533-position model. The record is from RNAcentral.
UAGGGAAUCUUGCGCAAUGGGCGAAAGCCUGACGCAGCAACGCCGCGUGGGGGAUGAAGGCCUUCGGGUUGUAAACUCCUUUUAGUGGGAACGAAAUUGACGGUACCCACAGAAAAAGCCCCGGCUAACUACGUGCCAGCAGCCGCGGUGAUACGUAGGGGGCGAGCGUUGUCCGGAUUCACUGGGCGUAAAGAGCUCGUAGGUGGCUUAGUAAGUCGGCGUGUUAAAUCUCCAGGCUUAACCUGGAGUCGCACCCGAUACUGCUAUAGCUAGAGUCCGGUAGGGGACCAUGGAAUUCCUGGUGUAGCGGUGAAAUGCGCAGAUAUCAGGAGGAACACCAGUAGCGAAGACGGUGGUCUGGGCCGGUACUGACACUGAGGAGCGAAAGCGUGGGGAGCGAACAGG